GACGAACGCUGGCGGCGUGCUUAACACAUGCAAGUCGAACGGAAAGGCCCUGCUUUUGUGGGGUGCUCGAGUGGCGAACGGGUGAGUAACACGUGAGUAACCUGCCCUUGACUUUGGGAUAACUUCAGGAAACUGGGGCUAAUACCGGAUAGGAGCUCCUGCUGCAUGGUGGGGGUUGGAAAGUUUCGGCGGUUGGGGAUGGACUCGGGGCUUAUCAGCUUGUUGGUGGGGUAGUGGCUUACCAAGGCUUUGACGGGUAGCCGGCCUGAGAGGGUGACCGGCCACAUUGGGACUGAGAUACGGCCCAGACUCCUACGGGAGGCAGCGGUGGGGAAUAUUGCACAAUGGGCGGAAGCCUGUUGCAGCAACGCCGCGUGCGGGAUGACGGCCUUCGGGUUGUAAACCGCUUUCGCCUGUGACGAAGCGUGAGUGACGGUAAUGGGUAAAGAAGCACCGGCUAACUACGUG
This 468-nucleotide ribosomal RNA is filed under the name uncultured bacterium. RNAcentral describes it as "partial 16S ribosomal RNA". It matches the Rfam family "Bacterial small subunit ribosomal RNA", at positions 28 to 507 of the family's 1533-position model. The record is from RNAcentral.